Molecule: ribosomal RNA, 440 nt
Filed under: uncultured bacterium
Lineage: Bacteria
Description: partial 16S ribosomal RNA
Rfam family: Bacterial small subunit ribosomal RNA
Source: RNAcentral
CCUACGGGAGGCAGCAGUGGGGAAUAUUGCACAAUGGGGGGAACCCUGAUGCAGCGACGCCGCGUGGGUGAAGGAGUACUUCGGUACGUAAAGCCCUAUCAGCAGGAAAGAAAAUGACGGUACCUGACUAAGGAGCCCCGGCUCACUACGUGCCAGCCGCCUCGGUACUACGGAGGGGGCAAGCGUUAACCGGAUUUACGGGGUGUAAAGGGGGCGUAGACGGCAGUGCAAGUCCGGAGGGAAAGCCCGGGGCUCAACCCUGGGACUGCUCUGGAAACUGUACAGCUGGAGUGCGGGAGUGGCAGGCGGAAUGCGUGGUGUAGCGGUGAAAGGCGUAGAUAUCAGGAGGAACACCGGCGGCGAAGGCGGCCUGCUGGACCGUAACUGACGUUGAGGCUCGAAAGCGUGGGGAGCAAACAGGAUUAGAUACCCGGGUAGUC